Molecule: ribosomal RNA, 52 nt
Filed under: uncultured eukaryote
Lineage: Eukaryota
Description: partial 5.8S ribosomal RNA
Rfam family: 5.8S ribosomal RNA
About the family: 5.8S ribosomal RNA (5.8S rRNA) is a component of the large subunit of the eukaryotic ribosome. It is transcribed by RNA polymerase I as part of the 45S precursor that also contains 18S and 28S rRNA.
Source: RNAcentral
ACAACUUUUAACAAUGGAUCUCUAGGCUCUUGCAACGAUGAAGACCGCAGCU